This 468-nucleotide ribosomal RNA is filed under the name uncultured Lactobacillus sp. RNAcentral's name for it is "bacterial SSU rRNA". It matches the Rfam family "Bacterial small subunit ribosomal RNA", at positions 74 to 524 of the family's 1533-position model. Lineage: Bacteria; Bacillati; Bacillota; Bacilli; Lactobacillales; Lactobacillaceae. The record is from RNAcentral.
GUGAAACAAGAUACAGGCUAGCGGCGGACGGGUGAGUAACACGUGGGUAAACCCUGCCCCAAGAGAUCGGGGAUAACACCUGGAAACAGAUGCUAAUACCGGAUAACAACAGAUGAUGCCUAUCAACUGUUUAAAAAGAUGGUUCUGCUAUCACUCUUGGAUGGACCUGCGGUGCAUUAGCUAGUUGGUAGGUAACGGCCUACCAAGGCGAUGAUGCAUAGCCGAGUUGAGAGACUGAUCGGCCACAUUGGGACUGAGACACGGCCCAAACUCCUACGGGAGGCAGCAGUAGGGAAUCUUCCACAAUGGACGCAAGUCUGAUGGAGCAACGCCGCGUGAGUGAAGAAGGGUUUCGGCUCGUAAAGCCCUGUUGUUGGUGAAGAAGGACAGGGGUAGUAACUGACCUUUGUUUGACGGUAAUCAAUUAAAAAGUCACGGCUAACUACGUGCCCAGCAGCCGCGGGUAAU